GCCGUGGUCGAAACUUGCUGGCGGUUUCUUGCUCACCUUUCCCGUUUCCCCUUUCAAAAGGGAUGAAGAGGAAGGUUAUCAUGGCUUAGGGCCGGAGCACCCACGGUAGUCACCAAGUGUGGAGUCCAGGGGACAGUUUGUCCUGAAGGGUGAGGAAGAGCUGGGAUGGAAUGGAGGAGCAGUGAAGGCAUGUUGGAAGCAGGAUGGGGGGGGGGGGGGCGGGCAGCCAGCGGGCCAGAAGGGUCACCAGCGGUGACUGAGGGGAUGCCUCGCCAAAGUCUCUGGCCUUGAACCUGGGACCUGCUUGGGCCUCCAUCACCUGCAUGGAGAGAAGAAACACAGUUAAGAGUGGGGAGUAGUGGAGCCACAAGCAGAACUGAGGUUUGGGGUCUGGGAGCCAAGAUCCCAAGGCAAGUGGGCAAACUUGCAUGGUUGGCCCCACGUGCCGGCCCUUUCCUUGGCUGGAGUGCUGAAUGGGAGGUUCAAGGAGACUGGAGAAUGAAACAGCAGGUGCAUUCUGGGAUGCUUUUAUCCUAAUAAAACUCCUCCAAAGACUUUGCUGUUUUCCCUCUGCUCGAUAGCCAGGAUCUGGUUUCAGACCUGCCACCCCAUUCUCUCAGCAACACCUCCCUGCUUGGUGCUUGUCCCCAGCUGACCUCCAUCCAUUUCUAUCAUGUUUUAGACAGAAGCAUGAAGAGACCUGUGUGAGGUCAGACCGUGAAUGUCACAGCCAGAAAUCCGUCUCCACCACUUCUGCUACCUUCUCCAUCAUGCCACUUCCCACAAGGACCAGGGCAACACAGAUUAGCAUCUUUGCACCUUCUUGUGUGAAGCACAAGUUAAGUAAAACAAAAUAUAAGCGUGGUUGUGCAAAUGAGAAAUAUAAUGGAGUGAAAUGAGCUUUUCCUGUUAGUAAGAAUAGCAAGCAGCAACCAAAAGGAAACCAGUGGAAGUGAAUCAGCUUGGCUUUGAAUGAUUGGAUGUGUGACAAAAUAUCGACAUGGGGAAAAUGUGCACACGGCUGCCUAAGGAGAUUUACAUUUAAUAAAAUGCUCUCUAAAGAAAUAGAAUAUCA
This 1075-nucleotide long non-coding RNA is filed under the name Felis catus (domestic cat). RNAcentral describes it as "lncRNA (ENSFCAG00000049553.1)". Lineage: Eukaryota; Metazoa; Chordata; Mammalia; Carnivora; Felidae. The record is from RNAcentral.